CAGGGCUUGACAUGCGCAGGAAUGUCGUGGAAACACGGCAGCCCUUCGGGGCCUGUGCACAGGUGGUGCAUGGCUGUCGUCAGCUCGUGUCGUGAGAUGUUGGGUUAAGUCCCGCAACGAGCGCAACCCUCGCCCUUAGUUGCCAUCAUUCAGUUGGGCACUCUAAGGGGACUGCCGGUGAUAAGCCGCGAGGAAGGUGGGGAUGACGUCAAGUCCUCAUGGCCCUUACGGGCUGGGCUACACACGUGCUACAAUGGCGGUGACAGUGGGAUGCAAUGGAGCAAUCCUGCGCAAAUCUCAAAAAGCCGUCUCAGUUCGGAUUGUGCUCUGCAACUCGAGCACAUGAAGUUGGAAUCGCUAGUAAUCGUGGAUCAGCACGCUGCGGUGAAUACGUUCCC
This 398-nucleotide ribosomal RNA is filed under the name uncultured bacterium. RNAcentral's name for it is "bacterial SSU rRNA". It matches the Rfam family "Bacterial small subunit ribosomal RNA", at positions 975 to 1375 of the family's 1533-position model. The record is from RNAcentral.